CGGGCGGGUUCUCGGGGUCCAAAUUGAUUCACGCCAUUGUCAAAUCGUGUCAGGGUUCAGAAAUGCUCAAGUUGAGAGGUGACAGUGACUCAGUAAGAGUAAGGUGCUUCUGUUCCUCGUGUAGCUGCUGAGUCCUGAAGCAAGCGAUAUGUAUUCGACUUCUGGUUACAGUUCCGCGGAGCAGCAGCAACCGGAGAGCAAAAUGUCACUCCUUGCACGGAUUUCGACAUUGCAUACUUUCAUUCCUAUGCUCACGUUGGUAUACACGAAGAGAUUAUCAAGGAUUGUGUACGAACAGAUACUUAUGGGGCUGCAAUCAUGCAACUAAAAAGUUACAUUGAAGGCAAAGUAAUAUCAUGGUUGUUGAAAUUCAGUCAGGAAAUGCUCUAUGAUCUUUUUUCUGAUAAAUUAUUGUUGAGGGACUUUUGAAUCCACAUAAACACUAUGCUAUGGCACUAGCCUUUGUUGAGUGUAAAUAGAACUGCUUCUAUUUUUAAUCCUGAAAUGACAGAAGUCUGAAUGUUUGAUAAGUUUUAUGAUGUCACAUAUUAUUUCAUCACUGGACGAAAUGUAUAUGUCGUAUUGUGAUGUGAAAACACAACCAUGGAACUUCAAUUUUUUUUAUUUUUUUUCUGUUGAACAUCAAUGAUCUGCUGAAUUCUAAGAAUGGUUUAGGCAAAAAAUUUCUUAUCUAAAUUUAAUCCUAAUGCUCACAUAUGAAUAUAUGUUCAGGUUGUUGUGUAUGUUGGCUGUGGCACAGGAAUUCUUUCUAGCUCAUAUUUUUAGAAGGUUCUAUAUUAUAUUUGACAAACUUUGUUAUGGGGUUCAUGGGCCAAAUAUAUUGUUCCUGGAGUAUUACAUGCCAUGUCACUGCUGUUUCUUGCAAUUUUGGUACAAUUAUUUCUUUGAAGUGCAAUAGCCUGUUCUAAAAAUGAAUCCAUGAGGUUUUGAAUUUCCAUGCUGUGAAGCCUUGGAAUCAAUUCAAUUGUUUCCAACAUUUUUUUCCUCUGAAAAUUGUCCUAUGUUGGGAGUGGACUAUCUAUCUUGUGCGGCCCAAGGCCCAAAUAAUAAGCCCUCCUAAGUCCGAAUGGUCCUUUGAUUCUUUCAUCACAUGCCAAAGUAAAAAAAGAAAAAAGGAAAAAGAAAAAUAAAGGGUAGAAGAAUGAACCUUUGAUUCUUUCCUUACAUGUGAAAGUUUGACACUUGCCUUUUUUUUCCUUAGUUCUUUUUUGAAGGAGAUAUUUUCAUAGAUGUCUAUGCAUAUUUCUGUUUAUACGCUUGCAUUAUUUUGACUGUAAUUGUGGAUCAUGCUUGAAAUGAUAUUGUUUGGCCAGGUAUAUGCAGUGGAUGCAAGUGAUACAAGUACUAUGCCAUUGAGAUUCUUAUUAAUUUUCAUAUGACUUUUAUAUAAAAUCUGGGUGAAGGUUUGGGUUUGAAUUGAUCUUGCUAUUUGUUUAAGCAGGCAAAUGAAGUUGUGAAGGCAAGCAACUUAUCUGAGAAGAUCAUUGUAUUACGUGGACGAGUUGAGGAUGUUGAAAUAGACGAGGGAGUUGAUGCUAUAAUUUCAGAGUGGAUGGGCUACAUGCUUUUAUACGAGUUAUACAUGGGACCUAUCACACAUUUUGAGAGAUACAAUGGAAGCGUUGAUUUUUGGCACAAUAUUUAUGGAAUUGAUAGUGAGUAUCAUAUGUGAAAUUCUCUAAAACCAUGAAACUAGGUUCCAUUUGUUUUGCUUGUACAUGUCGGCCUUUUCUGCCUGACCCGAUGAAGAGGGGAUUUCUAAGAGAGGGUUAUAGUCCUACCAAUACGUCAUGAAAGGAUUUUGUGGACAGAGCACAGACCUCAGACCAAUCGAUUCAACCAAUUAUUGUAGAUGUGAAUUUGAUACCAACAAGGGACUUUGUUCUCAAUGUUCUUGGUUGUAGUGUCUGCCAUGAUGCCAUUAGCAAAACAAGGUGCAUUUGAACUUUGAAGAACCAACUGUGGAGACAAUAUCGGGUGAGAAUGUUUUGACAUGGCCACUUUGUGGUGAGUCUCCCCAUUUUAACUAUAUGUUGCACUAGUUGCUAAGAAUUUACAUGCACUCUUGUUUGUGGUUUGUUAUGUAUGACUUCUGAUUGUGAAGUUUGUGAAUAUCAAACUUCCUACUGCCCCUUCAUGAUGCAUCCCAACUAAGCAUGCCUGUCUCCCUAUAUGUUUGCCCUGCAUGAAUGGACCUGUGUGCUUCUUAGCACAAAAGAUGGGGGCUUACAAACAAAUAAAAUAUGUAAAUUUUGCAGGAAUUUCUUGAUGUAAAUAAAACUACUUUUGAAUUUAAAGCUUUGAUGAAGCAGAUUUAAGAGGUGAAUAUACAUCAGUUCCUAUAUGGAAAUUAUUUCACUUCGGCUCUAGUGAUUUCUACAGAGUAUGUGUCUAUAGUUUAUGCAUAAAUAGUUCCCUUAUUUCUGUCCCAAGUGUUGUUCCACUUCGAGGCAACUGUGAAAUAUUUAGGAGUUAAAACUUAUACUUGCUCUCAUAGUUAUCAAAGGCUCAAGG
This 2535-nucleotide unclassified non-coding RNA is filed under the name Hevea brasiliensis (rubber tree). The record is from RNAcentral. Lineage: Eukaryota; Viridiplantae; Streptophyta; Magnoliopsida; Malpighiales; Euphorbiaceae.